Molecule: small RNA, 602 nt
Filed under: Pongo abelii (Sumatran orangutan)
Lineage: Eukaryota; Metazoa; Chordata; Mammalia; Primates; Hominidae
Description: retained intron
Source: RNAcentral
GCGAGACCCACAAAUAAAGGGGAGCGCUGGGGUUGCGGCGGGACUAGGAGCGCGGCGGGGCCGGCGGCAGAGCUGUCCGGCUGCGCGGUGGCCCGGGGGGCCCGGGCGGCAGGGCAAGCAGCGCGGCCUCGGCCUAUGCGACCGGUGGUGCCGGCCCGGCUUCUGCCUGGAGAGGAUUCAAGAUGACCAACGAAGAACCUCUUCCCAAGAAGGUAUGGGUUUUGGUUUUGGGUUUUUUUGUUUUGUUUUGGGUUUUUUUUUUUUAAGCAGUUUUAAGCACUUUUAAAAAUAUAGACUUGAAGGGAUUAUCAUUGUUUGCUUAUUUUUCAUUUCUUUGCCUUUAUAACAAUAAUAGCAUUGGAGUUGUACAGUGUGCCAGAUUUUGUAUCUUAUAUCCAGUAUAUUUUUAGAAUAUUUUCAGAUUUUGGAAAACUUUAGUUAUAAUAGUAUUCCCAUGGUCUACUCUGAAUGUUCAUUAUGUGAAUAUUUCCAGGUGCAUGUAUACAAAUAAUGUCACAAAUGGACAUUAUGAGUAUAUUAUUCUUCUUUUCCUAGUGUAAAUCCCUUUGAUUGUCAUUAAAAACUACUUUAUUUAAAAAAAU